GAUGAGUAUGAUGACGAGUAUGAUGAUGACUUGGAUGAACCCCUUCCGCCGCUCAAUAAGAUGAAACCCAUCACGGGUAAUGGUGGCCCUCCGGGAAUGAUGCCUAAUAACAUGAUGAUGAUGAAUGGGAUCAAUCCCUUGAUGAAUGGGAUCAAUCCCCAGCUCAUGAAUGCUCAAAAGGGUGCUCCAAUUCCUGCUCAAAAUGCCAAGAAAGGUGGUAAUGGAGGGCCUAUGCCCGUCCAGGUAAAUAUGGCUAACAAUGAGGGUAAAAAUGGAAAC
Molecule: long non-coding RNA, 279 nt
Filed under: Citrus x clementina
Lineage: Eukaryota; Viridiplantae; Streptophyta; Magnoliopsida; Sapindales; Rutaceae
Description: Citrus clementina (C. clementina) long non-coding RNA (CCLE_LNC000101)
Source: RNAcentral